AACGAACGCUGGCGGCAUGCCUAACACAUGCAAGUCGAACGAGACCUUCGGGUCUAGUGGCGCACGGGUGCGUAACGCGUGGGAACCUGCCCUUAGGUUCGGAAUAACUCCCCGAAAGGGGUGCUAAUACCGGAUAAUGUCUUCGGACCAAAGAUUUAUCGCCUUUGGAUGGGCCCGCGUUGGAUUAGCUAGUUGGUAGGGUAAAAGCCUACCAAGGCGACGAUCCAUAGCUGGUCUGAGAGGAUGAUCAGCCACACUGGGGCUGAGACACGGCCCAGACUCCUACGGGAGGCAGCAGUGGGGAAUAUUGGACAAUGGGCGAAAGCCUGAUCCAGCAAUGCCGCGUGAGUGAUGAAGGCCUUAGGGUUGUAAAGCUCUUUUACCCGGGAUGAUAAUGACAGUACCGGGAGAAUAAGCGCCGGCUAACUCCGUG
Molecule: ribosomal RNA, 433 nt
Filed under: uncultured bacterium
Lineage: Bacteria
Description: partial 16S ribosomal RNA
Rfam family: Bacterial small subunit ribosomal RNA
Source: RNAcentral